GGGGGUAUAGCUCAGUGGUAAGAGUGUAUGCUUAGCAUGCACCAAGCUCUGGGUUCCAUCCCAACACUGCCA
Molecule: transfer RNA, 72 nt
Filed under: Heterocephalus glaber (naked mole-rat)
Lineage: Eukaryota; Metazoa; Chordata; Mammalia; Rodentia; Bathyergidae
Rfam family: tRNA
About the family: Transfer RNA (tRNA) molecules are approximately 80 nucleotides in length. Their secondary structure includes four short double-helical elements and three loops (D, anti-codon, and T loops). Further hydrogen bonds mediate the characteristic L-shaped molecular structure. tRNAs have two regions of fundamental functional importance: the anti-codon, which is responsible for specific mRNA codon recognition, and the 3' end, to which the tRNAs corresponding amino acid is attached (by aminoacyl-tRNA synthetases). tRNAs cope with the degeneracy of the genetic code in two manners: having more than one tRNA (with a specific anti-codon) for a particular amino acid; and 'wobble' base-pairing, i.e. permitting non-standard base-pairing at the 3rd anti-codon position.
Source: Rfam by way of RNAcentral